GUGACGUCACAGGCUGCAGACUAAACCCUCUCUGCCAUCUACACUAUUUGCGCUAUUUGCUCGAAUAUGGACCGCGAGUAACAUCCGAUGUAUUUAGUUUGCUAUUUGACCAAUGAUAAUUCCGGUAUGAAACGAUGCGGCAGAUUAAAGGACAAUGUAAAAGCGGAAGUGCAUACAUGAGUGGGAAUGUACCAUAUGACCUUUUAUCCCCACUGCCAAUGCCUCUUAGGUUCUUAGAGUUCCUGACUUCUAAUGGAUUUUAAUUUUACGUCUUUCUACAUAUGUAACGUCCGUGUACGCAAUGCGGCCGCUUCCGGUAUGGUAAUGAUGUUUAACUUGAAUCCCAGGGAGGCCAUAUAUAAAAUACGUAGCGUGUACUUCUAUCGGUUGUAACCUGAGAAAAAGAAGGGAGUGCGCUUUUCGGCUAUUCGAAUAACAAUGGUAAUACAGUAAGUACCUUUGUACAUUGCAAAGUGAAUAAAAUUCAUGUAUGUAGAAAAUGACGUAGUCAUGUUCAUAAGCCCACUGGGAGAUGAGAAGCUUGACGAAGAAAGAAAACUGCAAGACGAAAACUCCCAAAGUAUUCCCCAGCGUAGCAGUUUCAGUUGCACAUUUAUAACAAAGAAAGUUUCUCGACGCUUUACUGAAAAUUCACGAUUUCUCAUAAAUACAAAGUGCACAGGAUUUUCAGGAGGUAAAAUAAAGCAGCGUUUACCGGCUCCAUAAAGAAAUCUACGUUAUCGAUCGAGGUACCGCACAACCAGCUUGAUAGCCAAGAAUAAAAUAUUCUUAACAAUAAGAAUAAGUCAUAAGAGUUUUCUCGGGCGCCUUUUAAGAGAUUAUAUGCAUGAUAACAAUACUGAAGGAGUAUUCUCAUAAGAUGGCGUUAGCAUCCUCUCAGUCCAUAGACGUAGCAGUCAGGUUGACGUGGGUGGAAUAUAAUCGCGCUCGAGCGGGCGCCUUUGUACGGGCUUAUUCUCUUAUUGGCUCGCUUCGAAAUCCAUUUAGAAGGGCAAGCGGCAUUAGACAAUGGAUGGCAUUCAACAAGUAAUGAACCAGCCCGAUUGGUAGCUGUGAGUUAUCAUUGGUAAGCAAAAGCAAAUUACAGUCGACCAGAUCCUUCGACGAAAACGGCCAGCAGUUCUUUUGUUUCUCGGGAGUGUCGAUUUCAUUCGUCGAUUACGUGCAGCACGAGGAUCCAGAUGAAAUUUCGAUUGGAGCUUCGAGUUUCUAUGUAACCACGCAUCUCCACUCUGUCACCAGGGGCAGAACCAUUGGAUAUUCUACUGCGACUACAGUUAUUGCCAAGUAGCAACUCAAUCCGUAUAUUUACCAAGUUCUGUUGGCAAUAACCCUUAGGGCUGCUGGCAACUUGCCACUAAGGUAAAUCCAUUCGAAUGAGCUUACCAGGUACGGGAGCCACUUAACCAUCAUGGCGUCUCGUAUAUGCCAAUGAAAUUCAUGGGUUGAACCACUUUGCUAUGCCGCCUGUCUGGUUAUACGAACUUUUGCAUAAUUUAGGGGUCAGUUUAACAAUUGGGCACUACCCAAUCCUUUGAGCCUUAUUUAUUCACAUAGCUACCUAUAGGUCCUUUGCUAUUGUCAGGAACCAUCUUUGUUAUUAAACGUUCGAUCAUAUCUUGUCAACCAUUAAUACCUGAUUGGUUGAUUACGUAUGUGAUGAAAAUUUUAAUCAAUGAUACUUGAAAAAUGUGAUUGUCAGCUCUCUUAUUAUACGAAAAAAAUCCUUUUGCGUUUUAACAUUGGAUUAAGUUCCAACGAAAUGAAACCCAAAGAAUUUUUAAGGACGGAGGUCCUCAUUUCGACAUUACUCAACUGUCCAGCCGUCUCUUUAAAAAGACAGUUUCAUAUUACGUUACGUUUCUCAUAAGCCUGGAGACUUUAAUAUCUUGUCAUUAAAAAUGUACACACUAUAUAUUCUGCAUAUUGGAUAUCAGUAGAAUAAUUUUUGUUAAAGGAUCAGUGAUAUUUCUUUGUUAUCUGCGCAUGCGCUCAGCCCGCAUAUCCGGAAAAGGACACGUGGCUGCUGAAGUCUAAAAAUAUAGGACGUAUCGAUAACAAGAAGACACGGACCCUUGGUCGUUUCUUCCUGUGGCACAUUGAACAGUUUAUUUUCUGGACUUCGAAGGGAUUGUCUAGGCCGCCAACGAUAAACUCCUUGCAUCUUUGUAUGCUACCUUUGCCGAGAACAGCUGUCCAGGGAGACUGGGAAACUGGGAGACUGGAAAACUGGGUCGAAGCAAACAGCUUCUACCUUCGCCUCUACACUCUGCUGUAUUCCUCUCCUCUCCUCUCCUCUCCUCUCCUCCCUCUCACCCUCUCUCACUAUCGCUCUUCCCAGUUAUUUCAAGCUUCGCGCCAACUUUCUUAUUUCAUACUUCCUCCCAAGAAAAGAAUUUCUUCGCAAUCUCCUUUCGAGGGAAACGUUCAAUUUCCUUAGCGUGUACGAAUAUUUACAAUUUCUCCGCGACAGAGCGUUCGAUAUUCCGAUUAAAAUGAAUCAAUAAUCACUUCUAUGUAUUUCAUAAAACGCCAUUUUUUUUAGCACUGACACACUGAAAAUAUCUUUCACCGAACUAAAUCGAAUCCUAAAACUAUAUUCAUGUAAUCAAACGACGACAGUCAUGACAAAAUAUUUCAUCCGCUGAGAACUCGAAUACCCAGUAAAUCGUACACUGAGCCAUACGCUAGUGUAAUGUCAAAAAUCCAUUGAUCGGCAGUAAAAUGUUAAAAGCGAAGGUAAAUGAGGAUCGACCAAAGUCGAAACAACGACGAGCGCGUUAUGGUCGAUGUCAAUAGCUUUCGAGGUUAUAAA
Molecule: long non-coding RNA, 2836 nt
Organism: Cephus cinctus (wheat stem sawfly)
Lineage: Eukaryota; Metazoa; Arthropoda; Insecta; Hymenoptera; Cephidae
Exons: 3
Source: RefSeq, a predicted model, not a curated record